AAAUACUACACAUAUUUUGCCAAGAACACCAUUCCUUUAACUUUGGUUUUGUUUUUUAAAUUCAAUAGCUUCCUUGCUUUUUAAUGUCCAUCUAUUCCACACACAUACACAGUUUAUCAAUUUCAAAGGCAACAAGACUCAUUUUUUUACUAUAAAUAUUUUGUAAAAAUCAAAUUGUUGGCACAUAUUUUAAAAGCAGAAAGCCAUUCUCCAUCUUUAAUUACGUUCAAGGAAGCUGUAGAAGUCUGGAAAUUGAAAUAUUCUCUUGGAUUAUUCUUUCAAAAGUUCGUUGAUCUAACGAGGUAGGAUACUAUGUACAAGUUGUUCCAUCCUUUUAAUAUUAUAAUUUUUGAUGUGAUUUAUUUCAUGAAAUGCUAAUUGACCUACUGGUCCCUAUGAAGUGAAAUAAAAUGUGAGAUCUCCUUCGGGUCUUCUCAAAUAUGUUAGAGUAUUUGAUUGAUCACCGAUUGCCCUUGAUGAAAUGCUGGUAUGGAAUGUUGUAAAUUCAUGUUUUAAAAGUUAUUAUAUUGUUUGGAUGCACGAAUCCUACUGAGUAUAAUUUAGUCAUUCCUUCAAUUUUAACAUUUUAGGUUAGAUCGAUCGACGUGGAUGGUGGUUGAGCGGUGUGCGGGUUGCCAAGUAAAGAAAUUUUCAAGAAAAAAAUUUAAAAAUAAUUCUUCUAGGACAUUUUGUGUUUCCAUUGAUUUCCAUUUAACGUUUCAUAUUACCUGACAAUACAUUUAUUUGAUUUAGCCUUUGAGUAUUAAAUAAAUUAGGAGUUUUAAAGUUCCAAUUUAUAUUUUCACUUGAUGUAUGUUUAUGAAAUGAUAUUGGUAACACCUCAAUUUUUAAAUCGAUAAAAUUUGGGGCGUUACAACAUCCUUGCUAAUGAAAAAUUUAUUUGUAUGUAAAUCCCAAACUCUAUAAGCCUUUUGUCCUAAAGGGUACCCAAGGAAAAUGCACUUCUUGGCUCGAUGGUCAAAUUUAUGUUCAAUGUGGACUUGAGUGGCAUAACAGAGGUAAAUGUACUUGAAAACGUAAGGCAUGAGCUACAUUCAGCGACACUAUUUUGUUGGGG
RNAcentral lists this long non-coding RNA (1078 nucleotides) under Olea europaea subsp. europaea. Lineage: Eukaryota; Viridiplantae; Streptophyta; Magnoliopsida; Lamiales; Oleaceae. The record is from RNAcentral.